This 201-nucleotide long non-coding RNA is filed under the name Lathyrus oleraceus (garden pea). RNAcentral describes it as "Pisum sativum (pea) long non-coding RNA (PSAT_LNC036783)". The record is from RNAcentral. Lineage: Eukaryota; Viridiplantae; Streptophyta; Magnoliopsida; Fabales; Fabaceae.
AUGUUCCGUUGAUUCCAUUUGUUGAGAGUAGUUGUACACAGAUUGCUGCUGGGAAUCCAUGAAGAAGGUGAAGUUGUUGAAGAACAUUGAAGAACUUUGAGGAUGCUUGAGAGAGAGAGAGAGAGAGAGGUUUGUGUAGGAUAUGAGUGAAAAGUGUGAAAGUGUGAAGUGUGAAAACUAUAAGUACAAACAAGGGGCAUG